Molecule: ribosomal RNA, 802 nt
Filed under: uncultured bacterium
Lineage: Bacteria
Description: bacterial SSU rRNA
Rfam family: Bacterial small subunit ribosomal RNA
Source: RNAcentral
AGAGUUUGAUCCUGGCUCAGGACGAACGUUGGCGGCGUGUCUAAGGCAUGCAAGUCGAGCGGAUACCAUUUUUUAGCAAUAUUAGAUGGUGUUAGCGGCAAACGGGUGCGUAACACAUUGGUAAUCUACCCCCCAGUCGGGCACAACUCGCCGAAAGGCGAGCUAAUUCCACGAUGGGCAUGCGGGGACAUAUGUCAUUCGCAUGUAAAGCGCAAAACGCGCUGGGGGAGGAGCCUAUGGCCCAUCAGCUUGUUGGCGGGGUAAAAGCCCACCAAGGCUACGACGGGUAGGGGGUGUGAGAGCAUGACCCCCCUCACUGGGACUGAGACACUGCCCAGACACCUACGGGUGGCUGCAGUUAAGAAUAUUCCUCAAUGGCCGAAAGGCUGAAGGAGCGACGCCGCGUGCAGGAUGAAGGGCUUUGGCUCGUAAACUGCUUUUAUUUGGGAAGAAUUCUGACGGUACCAAAUGAAUAAGAGGUUGCUAACUCUGUGCCAGCAGCAGCGGUAAUACAGAGACCUCAAACGUUGUCCGGAUUUAUUGGGCGUAAAGGGUCCGCAGGUGGCCAUGCACGUCGAGGGUUAAAUGUUAGGGCUCAACUCUAACACCGCUCUCGAUACGGCGUGGCUAGAGGCUGGGAGAGGCAUACGGAAUUGCCGGUGUAGUAGUAAUAUGCGUUAAUAUCGGCAAGAACACCAAAAGCGAAGGCAGUAUGCUGGAACAGUUCUGACACUCAGGGACGAAAGCGUGGGGAGCGAAAGGGAUUAGAUACCCCUGUAGUCCACGCCCUAAACGAUGGAUG